AGAGUUUGAUCCUGGCUCAGAACGAACGCUGGCGGCGCGUCUUAAGCAUGCAAGUCGAACGGUAGCAGUAGCAAUACUGUGAGAGUGGCGAACGGGUGAGUAACACGUAGGUGAUCUACCCGGAGGUUGGGGAUAGCCCGUGGAAACACGGAUUAAUACCGAAUACGGUCGGCGGGUUUUGGCCUGCCGAAGAAAGGAGCCCUUAAAGCUCCGCCUCUGCGAUGAGCCUGCGGCUGAUUAGCUAGUUGGUGAGGUAACGGCCCACCAAGGCGAUGAUCAGUAGCCGGCCUGAGAGGGUGUACGGCCACACUGGAACUGAGACACGGUCCAGACUCCUACGGGAGGCAGCAGCUAAGAAUCUUCCGCAAUGGACGAAAGUCUGACGGAGCGACGCCGCGUGGACGAUGAAGGCCGAAAGGUUGUAAAGUCCUUUUCCUGGGGAAGAAUAACCAGAGGAGGAAAUGCCUUUGGGAUGACGUUAACCAGGGAAUAAGCCCCGGCUAAUUACGUGCCAGCAGCCGCGGUAACACGUAAGGGGCGAGCGUUGUUCGGAAUUAUUGGGCGUAAAGGGCGUGCAGGCGGUCGUGCAAGUCUGGUGUGAAAGGUUGGGGCUUAACCCCAAACGCGCGCUGGAAACUGCAGGACUUUUGGAGUCCCGGAGAGGAAGCUAGAAUUCCAGGUGUAGGGGUGAAAUCUGUAGAUAUCUGGAAGAAUACCGGUGGCGAAGGCGAGCUUCUGGCCGAGGACUGACGCUGAGGCGCGAAAGCGUGGGGAGCAAACAGGAUUAGAUACCCUGGUAGUCCACGCUGUAAACGAUGUACACUAGGUGUUGGGGAGUUAUCCCUGGUGCCGCAGCUAACGUGUUAAGUGUACCGCCUGGGGAGUAUGCUCGCAAGGGUGAAACUUAAAGGAAUUGACGG
RNAcentral lists this ribosomal RNA (920 nucleotides) under uncultured bacterium. RNAcentral's name for it is "bacterial SSU rRNA". It matches the Rfam family "Bacterial small subunit ribosomal RNA", at positions 8 to 916 of the family's 1533-position model. The record is from RNAcentral.